RNAcentral lists this unclassified non-coding RNA (430 nucleotides) under Hevea brasiliensis (rubber tree). Lineage: Eukaryota; Viridiplantae; Streptophyta; Magnoliopsida; Malpighiales; Euphorbiaceae. The record is from RNAcentral.
GUUCAAAGCUUUUUCUGUAUUUUUUUUCCUUUUUAUUUUCUAUUUAUUUUUCUUGCAAUGUCUGUUGGGUAGCUGAGAAAUGGUAUGAAGGAAAAAUGGAAGGUAGAAUGUUUAUAGUGUUAUGGUUGAGCGAAUCGCGGUUGAGCUAAGUUUAUUUAUUUAUUUAAUCACUUUUUAUUUUCCGUUUAUGAUUUGUUUGAGCCGAUUAUGUUCAUGACCGUAAGCUUUAUUGGAUAUCUAUAUUCGUCUCUUGAUUUUGUUCUUCUGAUGCGGAUGUUAUUUCUCAUUUGUAAUGGAUUGUAUAAAAGAUUUUGGGCAAUUUGAUUUUAUUAUAUCGAGUUUUCGAUUGAUCAGGGAUCAAGGUUUUAUUUCUUUGUUUUUCAAAAUAUGCGGCUUGGUGUGGGAGGCAAUGAGCAUACCUCAUAUUUCU